Molecule: non-coding RNA, 1818 nt
Organism: Camellia sinensis
Lineage: Eukaryota; Viridiplantae; Streptophyta; Magnoliopsida; Ericales; Theaceae
Source: RefSeq, a predicted model, not a curated record
UUUUUAUUUAAUUAUUUUAUAAUACUACUACUACUAUAUUAUUGCUAUGUCAAUGUUCUAUCCAUUAUUAUAGGUAUUAUCAUUAUGCCAUGCCACUGAUUUGAGCACUAGCUUUUUAAAUUAAUGGUGUCUGAAAAAGCUAAUGCCCUAAAAUUGCUCAUUUGACUAUAAGUCGAGGACACUUGAAGAGAUAAAAACUCUCUUUUUAUUGGAUGAUGGAAAAAUAAAUUAGUUUUUCCAAUUGUAAAAUUUUGAUACAUGAUCACAAUUGUUUUGUUUUGCUUAAAUGGCUAUUUAUAGUAUUGUGUUAGAGAUAUGUUUUUGACAAAUGACCUUAAACAUAAUACAUUGCUGACAUUGCUUUUCAUGAAAUGAUGAUAACACAUAACAUAAUAAAUUUUAGAUCACCCUUUAAGCACCAUCUUGUGAAACUAAGUUGAAUGAGGGAUAGUUUGUUAUUGACAGUUUUAUGUGAGUUUCCAGAAUAUUGAAGCAAUUGACAGAUGAGCAAACUUUGAAAGAUAUGUUGUUGUUAUUCUGUGCUUUUUAAGUACUUGAAGUAGUGAAAUGUUGAGUUUCCACAAAUUUUCCAGUGAGAAAGGCAUAAACAAGAUCUCUUAGCUGAGAUAGUUUCAGAGGAGCAAUGUGGUAGGGAACUGUCUAAAAUUGUGACAGAAUUGCUUCCUAAUCCAAAGAGCUCUACAAUUGUGGAUAAACCAUCCCGGGCCUGAAAGAGGAGUAAUGAUAGAAAGAGGGUGUCUAAACGAUUGACUGAAGAAGCAGAGAAAUAUUUUGAGGACUUCAUUUCAAAUGUUGAAGAUACAGAUAUUUCUUCAUUUGAUGGAGAAAGGAGUGAUGCAAGUUCAACUUUAGGAGUAACAAAGGCUAGAGACGCAGUGUCAUAUUCUAGGGAAACAGAAACAAUUUAUAAUACAUCCGGAUCUAAUUCUCUUCCUGUUGAAAUGGAUGGUGUUAUUCUGCCUUGGUUGCAGUGGGAGACCGCUAAUGAUGGUUCCCCUCUUCCAUGGAAGAAUAAGAGAGAGCUUCCCGUGACUCCAAAAAUUAUCUUAUGGGAUGCAACUCAGGUAACCUUCAAACUGUCACGUAGUUAUAAUAUUUUAAUUCAUAAAUUGCUGUUCUAACCUUUGCUGAAUAAAAAGUUAUUGCACAUAACAUAUUUUCAUUUAGUUGUAAGUUGACUGCUUCACUGGCUUACAAUAGUUUCAUUUAGUUGUAAGUUGUUUGCUUCAUUGGUUUAUAAGAAAUUAGUUGCCUUUUGUACCCGUGAUAAGAAUUAUACAAUAUCAACUCUUCAGAUUUUAAAUUAAGGUUGAUAAAUUUUUAAACAAGAUUUUUUUGGCUGAAAUUUCAAGUUUAAUAGAACUUUAUAUUUUAUAGGUUGAAAUUUGAUAGCAUAUAGAACAUUGAAAAGGGAAAAUAAACAAACUUUACAAUCUUUUUUUUUGAUAAGUACAAACUUUACAAUCUUUACUCGUGUGUAUCUUAAAAGUGUAAAGUUUAAGUUGGUACAUGCAGUUUUCAAACUUUGACUUUUCUCAAUUAUUUGGUCAUGUCUCAUUUGAGUUUUAAUUGUUUUACAAAAUUGUUCAAAUGGCAUUUAUAUAGGCAAACAUGAUGUGGUUACAAUAAUUUAUGUUUGUAUUUGCUUGAAGUCAAUGCUAUUGCUGUGUAAUAAAAUGUUGCUUACUUGCCAAUGCAUUCAACCCAAACUGUCUACCAACCCUUUAGCUGUCCAACCACCCAAGUAACUGGGUUGACUUGUGGCAUCAUGCUGAUAUCAAAAUGCCUAUUAACAAA